Molecule: non-coding RNA, 2819 nt
Organism: Bactrocera oleae (olive fruit fly)
Lineage: Eukaryota; Metazoa; Arthropoda; Insecta; Diptera; Tephritidae
Source: RefSeq, a predicted model, not a curated record
AUCAGGAACACCAUUCCGUUAAUUCUUACCUAAUAUUAUUUGAACAUAUGAGACAAAUUUAUACUAAACGUAAACAAAAACAAACAAAGACCUUUUUAUAUUUAAAAAUGUUUUCCAGAACAUCCACAUAUAGAACGGUACAUGCGAAACAAACUGUCAAUCAGAGCGCAAACUAAUUUUUAGCUAAAAACAGAGUUUAUGAAUACAAAGGCUGAUUUUUCUACUGUACCCCCACUGUCAUCCGAAAUGCCUGAAUCUCCAUCCAGAAAUUUGACUUAUGCUUAGUUAAAAAAAUAUUCACAAGUUUACUUCUUCUAACUGAGACACUGUAAAAAUUAAAAGAGAUAAACAAUCCACAAACACCACAUACAAACUCAACGAGUAGAAUAGAGAUAUAUUUAAAACAUUGAGAUAUAACACACCAGACUUAGGUAUGCAGCCACCAUUUUGAAUAGAUACAAUAAGUCAAAGUUAUUAUACUGUCUCCCCUAAAUAAAAGCGUCAAGCGAUGCGGUUUCUAAAGGCCAUGGUAUCCUCGCGCACUAUGCCGAUAUAAAUGUGCACAUCUUCUUGCUAUCAUUCUCCCUAAGUUAUGAAUCUGUGAAAUGAGCGGCUUAUAUUUCCUUGAAACAUUCAGCAGGAGCAUUAAUGCAGACAGUUCUUUGACGCUUGACGCGCAAUAUCUAUUACAAACUUUGGAAUGACGUGAAGAAUUUCAAUACACACAUGCGUUAAGAGGGGGUGUCCACAAACACAAUAAUUGAAAACUAACAUUAAGCACUAUGAAAUAUUUACGGCUGCGUAAAAAUUAAGAGUUCAGAAUACAAUACAUAAGUGCAACAAAUAUUAAAUAAUGUGCAAUGAAAAAAUAUUAGAAAACUGUUAAGUAUUCAAACCAAUGGCGAAUGCAGAGGUAUUCUGUUAAUUCAAAUGUAAAUAUAACAAAUAUUAUAUAAUGUGCAAUGACAAAAUUAUUAGAAAACUGGUAAGUAUUCAAACCAAUGGCGAACGCAGAGGUAAUCAGUUAAUUCAAAAGUAAUUUAUUCCGAAUAUUAGUUCAAUACCUAAAUAUGGUCUUGAAACAUACCGAAGAGAGCAGAAAUGUUCGUUUGUAUAUAGUAAAUUACAAUAUUUAGUUUGAACAGCAAUUAAAAAUUUGAGUACCUUAUUAAGGCGAAAACAUUUGACCGCCAUCAAAUUUUCCUAGAAGGAUUAAGUUUAUUUUGUUAACAAUUCUUAUUUGCUGCAAAUUGCUGUAAUACAAUUGAUUUGAGCCUAACAACAUCAAUACUUUUAUCUUUUCAAGUAACAAACUUCGCGUUCGUCACUGAGAGAAAAAGCAAUUUAAUAGAUUUUGUACAAGUAGAAUUGCACAACUUAUAUACAAUGAUAUUGGUUAGUACAAAUUGAUCCAGGUAUAUAUACACAAAUGUAGACUUGUUUACAUAAGAACUUUAAACAAUAAGUGCUAUUGCUCUACAACAACCCCGAAUAUAUGUUAUAUUGCAUGUUAUAGGAUCAAAUGAGUUUUAUAACAGAAAAAUUAAUUUUUGUUUUAGUAGUAUGUGGAUAAUUGUCUUCAUAGUUCACCUGUUAAGCUCUUGCUUUGCUUUCUCGACUUUUUAGCUUCUGCUUAAUUGAAAAUUAAACGGCGGUCCCAUUUUUAGGCAAGUUUGGCAAUUUUCAUUUUCAUCCAAUUUUAUGUUCAGUAGUAAUGAUGGUGAUUGUAAAAGUAGUUUUAUAAUGUAUUUUCACAUUGUAUUGCGCAUUGUUUGUCCGGUUUAUGGUACACAUAAAAAUUUUAAUUCAUCUCAACAAAUUGACAUUAUUUUGAGUUUUAAAAGUGUCAUUAUUUUAUUAUUUAUCAGUUCGUUGUAGUGGUAGAUGAGUAGAUCAAUGAGCAAUCAUUCAAAUCACAUCAUGCAACAAGUAUGAGCAGUAAAUGUAAAAAUAUACAAAAAAAACAUUAAAGUAAUAAAAAAGAGAACUAUUAUGAGGACUAAAAUCAAGUGAUUAUUUUAUAAAAAAAUCAUACUGAUUGGAUUGCAAAAAAAACCCAAUACUUCGGGAUGGAAAUGCUUAUUGCAUAUUCAAUACAUUAUAAACCGACACGAAGAAUGGUAUUGGCCGCACUAAGGUACCAACGCACAAUACAAUAAUUGUAUGAUUACAACAAAUUGCAAAAAUCCUUACACAUUCAUAUGAACGCAUAUCACACAUUUGGAAAGUUUACUAAUUAUAGAUUUAAAAAUAUGCUUUUGAUCCGAUCUCUUCAAAUCUGUGUAUCAUGCUUUUUGAAACCUGUAAUUUGUAUAAAUAUAUAUUAUAACUUUAAUAUAUAUCGCAAUUCAGUACGCAGUCUUUAGUCAGUAUUUGCGACCUUUUGAAGUAAAGUCUCAAUUUGUGACAAGUGACACAAAAUAUGGUCUCAAAUUUGUCACCUGAUAGUAAGCAGAUCACAAUACUUAUAAGAAUUCUUGUUUUCCUUUUUGAAUAUACUGACAAUUCCCUUAUAGAGAUCAUCACAGAUAAAUAUAAAUCAAUUGACAGUUUUAAUAUUUUAUGUAACACGUAAAAGAUGAAAAAAAAUUAAUAUUUAAAUAAAUGUCGUAACUAUUGUGAUUCCAAGUCAACAUUUUGAUUUUAUUUUUAUUGGUAAUUAUGCUUUUUGACUGCGUUAUAGACGACUUAAUAUUUGUUAUCGAUACGUUUAAUUAAUUCAUAUCUAAGUACUGAAUUCCGAUAUUAAACUACACAAGUAGCUGGAUUUUCGAAAGGCACAUGAAAUUUGAAAUAUGCAUCUCAAUAUAAUAAUAAAU